AAUAGACCUUUCCCGUUAAUCGGAUUUUCAGCGGUCAUAAUGCGCGGACAGAUUUGGCGCCGUUCAAAUCUGGUUAUAAACGGAGUCUUUAAAGGCUAGGGAUAAAAAGAAAUGUAUCUAAAGAAAUGACAGAGCACGGAUGUCGUAACUUAUGUCUGUAGGAUUUAUGGUAUACAUAACCCUACUUAUUUUGUUUUCAAUUUUUGUUAUUUAUAUAAAAUUUAUUGAAAAUUGUCUUUGUUCUUCUGCUCAAUCCGUAAAUUAUUGUAUUAGGGCAAAUUUCAGUUCACAAUGCGUAGUUGUAUAGUCGGUUGCUCCAAUUCGACCAAGCGAUGUACUGACAGUAUAUUUUUCAUUCCAAAAGGAACUCGGAGAAAUAUAUGGACUACAUUUUGAAAACAGAUUCACAAGCAAUAAGCGACAAGAUAAGAGUUUGCUGGCGUCAUUUUAGAGGAGAUUUAUUUCAUUUUUCAACAAGGACAUAACUAAAACCCCAUUGCAUACCACGUUUAUAUCUGUAUAAUAACGCAGAAGCCAAUGAAGCUGUACAAAAUAUAGAAACCAGUAAAACACCAAAAAAAUAACUUCCAAAACAAAGAAUACUUGAUUACCCGAUUAAAUCAGGCGAUAUAUAAAUCUAAAUUUUUAAUUGAGAACACAAUGAUAAUGAAAUAAAUUAUAAUACAGGUGUUAGGAGUCAUAAAAUAUAAGUAAAAUAUUGUUAACAAUAUUUAUAUUUUCAAAUCAGAAAAAGGACCUAUUGGUGCAGUGCACCAAUACCAAUAUAUUUUGAAGAAAAAGGACUAAUUAUUAUGAUUAUAUAAAGGACUAAUUAUUAUGAUUAAUCCAGAGCAAUAAUUUAAUAAUGUAUAUAUUAAUUAUGGAUCUAUAUUGGAUAAAAAGAUCAUUGAAUAGUGUUUUUUUAUAUUUAUUAAAAAUAAAGAUAGAAAAAGGCAAAUUAAAUGCAGGGGACAUUAUAUUAGCUGAUAAAGAUUUUGAAAUAAACAGUAUUUUAGAGCAUAUUGGUAUCAAACUCAACAUUGAAAGUUACUGGUAUGCAGCUUCAAGACAAUGACGUGGAAUUUAUCAGGAAAAUUGCACAUGAAAGAAUACAUGUGGAAAGAGCGAUUAGAAGAAUUAAGGCAUUCAAAAUUUUAGCUUCUAGAUUACCAAUAAGCUUGUUAAGUUUUAUUAAUUAAAUUUGUACUGUGUGUGCUCUUUUAACAAACUUUACAACCAUUAAGAAAAUUAAUCUUUAGGGAGAUCUUCUCUUCAUGAAAAAUUUUGCUUGUGCUAUAGUGGUAACUCCCGUUUAGACUUUUCCAAGUUUCCAUAACGUUUUAGAGAAAAUUAAAAAAAACAUGUAAUUUAUCCAUAAGUCCUAAAAAUCAAAACCUGUUUCUAAGUUAAUACAAUUUCGUUUUCAUUCUUUGGUAGAAUUUUAAUUAAUGUUAUAUUUUUUGCUGUUUUAAAAUGUUAAAGAAGCACAAGAUUAUUUAGUUCAAUGCUAGAGAAAGGGUGAUGAUACUUUACUACAGCAAAAAAUAUGACGUUAAUCAGAAUUAAUAAUAACCAUCUAUGAAGGAAUGAAAUUGAAAUUAUAAUACGAUAGAAAAUCGUUUUCAUUUUUAGAAUUUUUUUAAAAAAUUCAACUAUAUUUAAUAUAGUUUUUUAAAUUUACUCAAAACGGUAUAGAAAUUUAGAAAAGCAUAAACGGCAUUAAUCAUUAUAAAAUGAGCAAAACUUUUAAUGAAGAAUGUAUUUUUCUCAAAAUGUCAAUAAUAAACGUCUCUCCUCUUAUAAGGACGAUCGGGGGCACACUGUAUACUAUAAAAAUAAAUAAUAUAUAAAAUAAAACAUUUUGUCAAAAAUCU
RNAcentral lists this long non-coding RNA (1874 nucleotides) under Sitophilus oryzae (rice weevil). RNAcentral describes it as "uncharacterized LOC115883093". The record is from RNAcentral. Lineage: Eukaryota; Metazoa; Arthropoda; Insecta; Coleoptera; Curculionidae.